GAGAAGUGGUUGACGUGUUUAUUUGGUGUGAGGUCAGCUACAGCUCUGAAAGCAAUAACACUAUUCCCAUAAAACAGAACUCCCAAGCUGGGCCACCAACCUGCUUGCUGCCAAAGAAGGGUGGUGGCCUAAUAAGUGAGACAUUGCUGUCAGCUCUCCAUAAAUGGAGGAUUCUUUCACUUUGUGAAUUAUGCAGGCUCUUCCUUGACCUCCCAUCUCCAACCCAUCUAUUGCUUUAACCCAUUUCUUGUUUUGUGCUGCUUCUUUCAGAUGAAGAAGGGAAAAGAGAUUUGAUUUCUGUGCCUAUUAACCACGCCAAUAGAAGGUUGUGUGAAAAAUGAAGCUAUUGGUAGAAGUUAGGAAAAAAAUCUAGUUAUAAGACCAGCAGAAGACCUGAACUUCAGAGAAGACCACAAAUGAAUUGAAUUAAAAGCACAGUUCUCUUUUCAAAAGCUAACACGAAAUGAGGAUGGGUUUUGUACAAAAGCAGCUGCUCCUGCCAGUGGGCUUAUGCAUGUCCUUCUUUCAUAUGCCACAGUCAGACCUAGGAAAUUCCCUGGGAAGUCCCCUCUACCACAGUGCUUGCAGUUUCUCCAUUUGACUAUGAUUCUGUUGGAUCUUGGGAGAUUGAUCUUCAGGAAGCUGUUAUCACAAAACAGCUCUUCCUGGAGUGAGGAGAGAGCAUGGUACCUGGGAAGACAAAGGGAGUGGACUGGGACGCGGAAAUCUGGUUCCCAUUUUAGUUCUACAACUAGUAGCCUGGUGGCUUUAGGAGAAGCCUGCCAUUUCCCUGGCCUCAAUGGUUUCGUCUGUAAAUUGGAACGGCCUGGAGAUGAUAAAAGUGAAAGCAUCUAUCACCAUGCCUGGAAGUGUUCAAGAAAUGAUUCUUUCCUGCCUGCUGACUUCCAUUUUCCAUCUGUAAGAAAAUUUGCAAGACGAAGCCCCAGAGACAGAGCAUGCCAGAUGUUGUGGAGAGCAUGGCUGCUGGGUCCCUUCGGCCACACAUGCUGAAGUCAUGAAGUCAGGAAACCUGACUCAGUAGUCGCUGUUCCAGUGUGGGGGCUGACAAAGCACCGCAUGGUCUGGGACGGCUGGAAACCGAGCCCAUCCCCGGAGCCCAGUCCUCUUCUGAGUGUGUUCUUGGGCUGGGGUCAGCGGGAGGGAGCCUGGAGACUUCGGACUACUUCAGCACUUUCUGGGAAACCGUGAAAGGUCAGGAUAAACUGGGGGCUUGGUGUCCCUGCAGUUGCAAGGGGAGUCCCGUCCACACUGUUGAUGGAUGCUGAGUGCCUGGAGUCUAACCGUGGGUCCUGGUACAGGGUCUUGGAUGCAUACUCCCACAACGAAUGAGAUGAGAUGUCCAAUAGGUUUAAAUGAGAGAAAGUAAGAAAGCACAUGCUUCCAUGUUUUUCUAUUCCAGGUUUGCCUUUAUUAAAAUUACAGUGAGACAGUCCUACAAAAAAUGAACACAAACACAAGAGUGAACCAACUCUUAAAAUGCAGACUCUAGGCUCAACCUGCUCCUCCUUGAGCCCAGAUGCAAUCAACUCCCCCUCUGCCAUAUGCUGUUGUUCCAGGUCGAGGUGGCAUAUUUAUACCAGACUUCUGUGGAUUCAGAAGACUUCAGUGCUAUGCUCAUUUGCUCCAGACUUGACACAGCCUGGCAAAGCAAAUAAGAUCCUCCUUUUUGGCCCUGCUGAUCAGCUCUGGGAACAGCCCCAGCUGCCUCUGAUUCCCUGGAGACCAGAGCAUCCUCCUGGGCUCACACCUAGAAACGUUCCCCAGAUACGGAGUUGUACGAUCAACAUGGACCCACGCUCUGGUUCUUAAAUUAGUUCAGAACAUUCACCAGGGAGACUUUGGGGCUGCCAGCCCCAAAGAUUUGAGUGGACUGCUACAGACCAGGGCAUCUUUCCUAAGUUCCCAGGUGGGUCUGAUGGACUUGCUGAGCAUCGGUGACCUGUCUGGGACAGCUGCAUUAGAAACUUUUUCUUACAGUGAUGCCUCCAAGUGCCUCCCUAGUCCCCCCACCCUCCCCCAACCAGACAGGUGCAGACAUUUGCUGUUGCUAUUCAUCAGAGCAUUUUACAACUAGCUUUCUGCAGAACAAUAAAAAACAAAAGAGUUCAACUUAAACAUAGCCAAAUGACUUUUCACAGAGCAGUAAAGUGAUUUCCUCCCCGGCUCUGCUGUGAAGCAGAUCUGAGCAGCUCUGUCCAUGCCGGACAUUUUUGCAAGUUGACCCUGGGCCCACUUCAGAAUCACCCUACAAGGGACCUGGACUGCCGGGUCCAAGGUCCAUCACUGUGGUUAAUUCCAGGCCUGCAUCCCCAGGGGUGGGUGGGAGCUGGCUGAGGCCUCAGACCAGCUGGGUAAAAGAGCCCCAUGCCCACGCUGCCUGGUGGCCUUCAGAGCGCUGCAAGGUGGGUGGUCUGCGAGCUGGCAGAGCUCAAGGCUGCAGGAGUUCACAGCCCCCUCUGGGGGACAUGACGAAUGGCCGCGCUGACAAAUCCUGGUCUGCUUUCCAUCUCGGAGCUGUGCACGGUUUCGCUUUCAAAGCAGGAAAACAAACCACGGGAAGCAGACACAACACUCACAGGCCACAAAUGAUACAGCCAUUUUCUCCUCUCAAGUCAGGGACCUGCAAAAGGGAAAGAAAAACUGCUCUGUUAGAAUUCCUUGAUGAAGAGUGGAUACAGAAAUCUCCCCCAGGGCUUGGCCUGAAACCGCCCCCGCACCCUCCCUCGUCACCCCUCCUUCUGACCAGCUUGAGAUUCAGUCCUCUCUGGUGCUCAGACCCAUCUGAUACUGGUCUUUUCCAGGGCUUCCCAGUUUGCACCAGCCCUGAUGAUCCCCAGGCCACUGAGGAAGGGCCACACAGUACACCAACCAGUCCAUGUCUGCCGGAUAUGCUUCUAGAGUGCCACUAAAACCUCUUCUGAAGAAAAGACUCUGCAGGUAAAGGACGUUCACAAUAUUCUAAUCUACUCUGACCUCACCUCCAUUUUAAGGAUGAGUCCAGUGAAGAAAGGAGGAGAAAAGAACAGUGUCACGAGAAGUGGGUUGAUUUCUGUGACCCGCUUCUCUCUGAUGUUGCCUUGUCCCCAUUCCCCUCUUUCACCCUCUGUUCCUUCCUUUAGGAUGUGCGUGGUAAUUUAAGGUUGAAUUAUCAAGAACCAGAAAGAACCACUAGAGAACUUUGUCUCUGUAGAUUGUGAAUGAAAACCAUGUUAGCUAGCC
Molecule: long non-coding RNA, 3240 nt
Organism: Cervus hanglu yarkandensis (Yarkand deer)
Lineage: Eukaryota; Metazoa; Chordata; Mammalia; Artiodactyla; Cervidae
Source: Ensembl